AGCAGCCGCGGUAAUUCCAGCUCCAAUAGCGUAUAUUAAAGUUGUUGCAGUUAAAAAGCUCGUAGUUGAACUUCGGGGUUUACCCAUUGGUCAGGCUUAAUUGUCUGUACUGGUGAGAUAAAUCUCUACCUUCUGAGGAACUUUCAUGCCAUUUAUUUGGUGUGAUUGGAAAUCAGGACUAUUACUUUGAAAAAUUAGAGUGUUUAAAGCAGGCUAAAGUCUGAAUACAUUAGCAUGGAAUAAUGAAAUAGGACGGAUUUGAUUCUAUUUCGUUGGUUUCUAGGAUCACCGUAAUGAUUAAUAGGGAUAGUUGGGGGCAUUAGUAUUCAAUUGUCAGAGGUGAAAUUCUUGGAUUUAUUGAAGACUAACUACUGCGAAAGCAUUUGCCAAGGAUGUUUUCAUUAAUCAAGAACGAAAGUUAGGGGAUCGAAGACGAUCAGAUACCGUCGU
RNAcentral lists this ribosomal RNA (450 nucleotides) under uncultured Diversispora. RNAcentral describes it as "SSU rRNA". It matches the Rfam family "Eukaryotic small subunit ribosomal RNA", at positions 569 to 1021 of the family's 1831-position model. The record is from RNAcentral. Lineage: Eukaryota; Fungi; Glomeromycota; Glomeromycetes; Diversisporales; Diversisporaceae.